RNAcentral lists this ribosomal RNA (253 nucleotides) under uncultured bacterium. RNAcentral's name for it is "partial 16S ribosomal RNA". It matches the Rfam family "Bacterial small subunit ribosomal RNA", at positions 524 to 776 of the family's 1533-position model. The record is from RNAcentral.
UACGUAGGGGGCAAGCGUUGUCCGGAAUCAUUGGGCGUAAAGAGCGUGUAGGCGGCCAGAUAAGUCCGCUGUGAAAUCUCGAGGCUCAACUUCGAGCUGUCGGUGGAAACUGUCUGGCUAGAGUCCGGAAGAGGAGAAUGGAAUUCCUGGUGUAGCGGUGAAAUGCGCAGAUAUCAGGAAGAACACCCAUGGCGAAAGCAGCUCUCUGGGACGGUACUGACGCUGAGACGCGAAAGCGUGGGGAGCGAACAGG